This 253-nucleotide ribosomal RNA is filed under the name uncultured bacterium. RNAcentral's name for it is "partial 16S ribosomal RNA". It matches the Rfam family "Bacterial small subunit ribosomal RNA", at positions 524 to 776 of the family's 1533-position model. The record is from RNAcentral.
UACGUAGGUGGCGAGCGUUGUCCGGAUUUACUGGGCGUAAAGAGCGCGCAGGCGGUCUUUUAAGUCGGGUGUGAAAGCCCCCGGCUCAACUGGGGAGGGUCACGCGAUACUGCUCGACUUGAAGGCAGGAGAGGGAAGUGGAAUUCCCGGUGUAGUGGUGAAAUGCGUAGAUAUCGGGAGGAACACCAGUGGCGAAGGCGACUUCCUGGCCUGUUCUUGACGCUGAGGCGCGAAAGCUAGGGUAGCAAACGGG